Molecule: ribosomal RNA, 354 nt
Filed under: Pseudoselenomonas ruminantium
Lineage: Bacteria; Bacillati; Bacillota; Negativicutes; Selenomonadales; Selenomonadaceae
Description: Selenomonas ruminantium partial 16S ribosomal RNA
Source: RNAcentral
GGAGUCUGGACCGUGUCUCAGUUCCAAUGUGGCCGUUCAUCCUCUCAGACCGGCUACUGAUCGUCGCCUUGGUAGGCCGUUACCCCACCAACUAGCUAAUCAGACGCAGACCCAUCGCAAAGCGAUAGCUUACAAGUAGAGGCCAUCUUUAAUCAAUCUCCCAUGCGGAAAACUGACAACAUUCGGUAUUAGCACCCCUUUCGGGAUGUUGUCCCCAUCUUUACGGCAGGUUGUCUACGCGUUACUCACCCGUUUGCCACUCGACUCAUCUAAGCAAGCUUAAAAUCGUCUCGUUCGACUUGCAUGUGUUAAGCACGCCGCCAGCGUCGUCCUCGAGCCACGGAGUCAACUACU